GUGAGUCAUCGAAUCUUUGAACGCACAUUGCGCCUCUAGUAACUUGGAGGCAUGCCUGUCUGAGCGUCAUUUAAAACCAUAAACUCUACCGUGUUUGUAUUGGGCAUCGUCCCUGGACGUAGCCUCAAAGUCAUUGGUCUUAUACGCGGACGAGCUCCAUUAGGACAGACCGCAUGUGGACUUUAAAUCUCUGACUUGACCUCAGAUCAGGUAGGACUACCGCCUGAACUUAAGCAUAUCAAUAAGCGGAGGA
RNAcentral lists this unclassified non-coding RNA (253 nucleotides) under Archaeorhizomyces sp. Its description in RNAcentral is "partial contains 5.8S ribosomal RNA, internal transcribed spacer 2, and large subunit ribosomal RNA". The stretch from base 1 to 69 matches the Rfam family "5.8S ribosomal RNA", at positions 84 to 154 of the family's 154-position model. Lineage: Eukaryota; Fungi; Ascomycota; Archaeorhizomycetes; Archaeorhizomycetales; Archaeorhizomycetaceae. The record is from RNAcentral.